CCGUGAAGUCGGAAUCGCUAGUAAUCGUGGAUCAGAAUGCCACGGUGAAUACGUUCCCGGGCCUUGUACACACCGCCCGUCACACCAUGGGAGUGGGUUGCAAAAGAAGUAGGUAGCUUAACCUCCGGGAGGGCGCUUACCACUUUGUGAUUCAUGACUGGGGUGAAGUCGUAACAAGGUAACCGUAGGGGAACCUGCGGUUGGAUCACCUCCUUACCUGAAGAUAC
This 227-nucleotide ribosomal RNA is filed under the name Pantoea ananatis. Its description in RNAcentral is "partial 16S ribosomal RNA". It matches the Rfam family "Bacterial small subunit ribosomal RNA", at positions 1318 to 1533 of the family's 1533-position model. Lineage: Bacteria; Pseudomonadati; Pseudomonadota; Gammaproteobacteria; Enterobacterales; Erwiniaceae. The record is from RNAcentral.